AUUGAACGCUGGCGGCGUGUUUAAGACAUGCAAGUCGCACGGGAUAAGACAUGUAGUAAUACUUGUUUUAUUUAGUGGCGCACGGGUGAGUAACACGUGAAUUACAUGCCCUAUAGUGGGGAAUAGCCAGGGAAACUUGGAUUAAUACCCCAUGGUACCGAAAGAUUAAAGGUGGCCGCAAGGCUGUCGCUAUAGGAUUGGUUCGCGCCCUAUCAGCUUGUUGGUGAGGUAACGGCUCACCAAGGCAAUGACGCGUACCUGGUCUGAGAGGACGAUCAGGCACACUGGAAAUAAGACACGGUCCAGACACCUACGGGUGGCAGCAGUCGAGAAUUAUUCACAAUGGGGGCAACCCUGAUGGUGCAACGCCGCGUGGAGGAUGACGGUCUUCGGAUUGUAAACUCCUGUCAUCUGGGAGAAAGACCUGACGGUAAAUAGCCGGCAGGGUUGAUAGUACCAGAAGAGGAAGGGACGGCUAACUUCGUGCCAGCCGCCGCGGUAA
RNAcentral lists this ribosomal RNA (502 nucleotides) under uncultured bacterium. Its description in RNAcentral is "partial 16S ribosomal RNA". It matches the Rfam family "Bacterial small subunit ribosomal RNA", at positions 30 to 523 of the family's 1533-position model. The record is from RNAcentral.